This 484-nucleotide ribosomal RNA is filed under the name uncultured bacterium. RNAcentral's name for it is "partial 16S ribosomal RNA". It matches the Rfam family "Bacterial small subunit ribosomal RNA", at positions 30 to 507 of the family's 1533-position model. The record is from RNAcentral.
AUUGAACGCUGGCGGCAGGCCUAACACAUGCAAGUCGAGCGGAUGAAGGGAGCUUGCUCCUGGAUUCAGCGGCGGACGGGUGAGUAAUGCCUAGGAAUCUGCCUGGUAGUGGGGGAUAACGUCCGGAAACGGGCGCUAAUACCGCAUACGUCCUGCGGGUGAAAGUGGGGGAUCUUCGGACCUCACGCUAUCAGAUGAGCCUAGGUCGGAUUAGCUAGUUGGUGGGGUAAAGGCCUACCAAGGCGACGAUCCGUAACUGGUCUGAGAGGAUGAUCAGUCACACUGGAACUGAGACACGGUCAAGACUCCUACGGGAGGCAGCAGUGGGGAAUAUUGGACAAUGGGCGAAAGCCUGAUCCAGCCAUGCCGCGUGUGUGAAGAAGGUCUUCGGAUUGUAAAGCACUUUAAGUUGGGAGGAAGGGCAGUAAGUUAAUACCUUGCUGUUUUGACGUUACCAACAGAAUAAGCGCCGGCUAACUUCGUG